RNAcentral lists this ribosomal RNA (460 nucleotides) under uncultured bacterium. Its description in RNAcentral is "partial 16S ribosomal RNA". It matches the Rfam family "Bacterial small subunit ribosomal RNA", at positions 338 to 795 of the family's 1533-position model. The record is from RNAcentral.
CCUACGGGUGGCAGCAGUGAGGAAUAUUGGUCAAUGGACGAGAGUCUGAACCAGCCAAGUAGCGUGAAGGAUGACUGCCCUAUGGGUUGUAAACUUCUUUUAUAUGGGAAUAAAAUGUUCCACGUGUGGGAUUUUGUAUGUACCAUAUGAAUAAGGAUCGGCUAACUCCGUGCCAGCAGCCGCGGUAAUACGUAGGGAGCGAGCGUUGUCCGGAAUUACUGGGUGUAAAGGGAGCGUAGGCCGGCUUUUAAGUCAGCUGUGAAAGUCCGCGGCUCAACCGUGGAAUUGCAGUUGAAACUGGAGGCCUUGAGUGCACACAGGGAUGCCGGAAUUCAUGGUGUAGCGGUGAAAUGCUUAGAUAUCAUGAAGAACUCCGAUCGCGAAGGCAAGUGUCCGGGGUGCAACUGACGCUGAGGCUCGAAAGUGCGGGUAUCAAACAGGAUUAGAUACCCGGGUAGUC